AUCUGGCAACGUGUUAGUAAAUUCUGCGUGAAAUGAAGUGAAGUUAUACCUUUGUUUAUAUUUUUACUUUGGUGAAAUAUUGCUUGCGAUGUAUUCAGUUAUCUUCAAACAAGAGCAAGCCCAUGAUGAUAGCAUCUGGUGCUGUGCUUGGAGAAAAGGAGUGCAUGAUGGUCUCAACCAUAUUGUGACUGGGGGUGUUGAUGAUAUGGUUAAAUCUUGGAAAUGGGAUGAAGAAAAAUUAGAUCUUCGUCAUGUUUUUGAAGGCCAUGCUUUGGGUGUAGUGUCAGUAGACAUUGACCAUGAAGGUUCAGUUGCAGCAUCAAGUUCCUUAGACAGCCAUAUUCGUUUGUGGGAUCUGCAGACAGGUCAGCAAUUAAAGAGUAUUGAUGCUGGACCAGUUGAUGCUUGGACUGUUACAUUUUCGCCUGAUUCCAAAUAUAUAGCAACUGGCAGCCAUGCGGGCAAGAUAAACUUGUAUAAAACAGAAACUGGCAAAUUGGAAUCAUCCUUAGAUACCACUGGAAAAUUUACUUUAAGUAUUGCAUUUAGUCCAGAUGGGAAAUACCUUGCUAGUGGUGCAAUUGAUGGAAUUAUAAAAGUAUUUGACAUAGCUACGGGAAAACUAGUGCAUACCUUAGAAGAUUACCAUAAAAAUCAAAAGUUCCAUCAGAACCCCAACAGUGUGAAGGUCAUGCUAUGCCAAUACGUUCUUUAACAUUUUCCAAAGACUCUAUGAUGCUUCUAACAGCAUCAGAUGAUUGUCAUAUCAAAAUUUAUAAUGUACAACAUGCGAAUCUCAUUGGAACUUUAUCUGGACAUGGAUCUUGGGUUUUGCACAUCGAUUGUUCUCCAGACAAUACACAUUUUGUCUCAUGGUAAUUUUAUAAUUCCCUUACGAGAUUCUGUAUUCUUUGGAAAAUUGUU
RNA transcript from Stegodyphus dumicola, 924 nucleotides. RefSeq lists it as uncharacterized. The record is from RefSeq and is a predicted model, not a curated record. NCBI's taxonomy places the organism in Eukaryota, Metazoa, Arthropoda, Arachnida, Araneae, Eresidae.